GGUAGACAAGCCGCACUGAGAGCAAUGGAGAAAAUCACUAUUUGCGGGAUCUCACAGGGACCGUCUUUAAAAAGUUAAACAAAAUAAGCACGGCCCACAGAGGCGCGGAUAUUCGACAUGGCAAGACAGUGCUGCCAGAUAACCUGCAAAGUGACCUUUGAUCCCGUGGCUGCUGGGUGGUUUGGGGGAGGACCUCUGACACGUAACGGCAGAGCUCACCCGAAGGGGACCGGCGUGGUGGAGCUGGAGCGGAGAACAUGGGUACGGCUAAAAAGCACCGGAGUGUGUCGGGGAUCCGGGAGAGAACCCGAAUCCCUCGCCACAACUUCUCCUUGUAUCAACACCGCAGUCAAAGUGCAGCCGAGGAGAAAAUUAAUUUCUUAUUACCUGAUUAUAUUAUUAGGUUUCGCUUCGAGUGUCUGUUAAAUAUUCCACAUCAGCAUUUCAUCGGGCAGGUCGGUGCCGCCCGGAGCCCGUAAUAGGCUGAACGCCGCUUCCCCGUCCCCAGGAAUAAAGACUGGCGUUGGCAAUAUGCUGGCAGAAAGCAA
Molecule: long non-coding RNA, 548 nt
Organism: Anguilla rostrata (American eel)
Lineage: Eukaryota; Metazoa; Chordata; Actinopteri; Anguilliformes; Anguillidae
Exons: 2
Source: RefSeq, a predicted model, not a curated record